Molecule: ribosomal RNA, 483 nt
Filed under: uncultured Desulfobulbus sp.
Lineage: Bacteria; Pseudomonadati; Thermodesulfobacteriota; Desulfobulbia; Desulfobulbales; Desulfobulbaceae
Description: bacterial SSU rRNA
Rfam family: Bacterial small subunit ribosomal RNA
Source: RNAcentral
CUUAAAGGAAUUGACGGGGCCCGCACAAGCGGUGGAGUAUGUGGUUUAAUUCGAUGCAACGCGAAGAACCUUACCUGGUCUUGACAUCCCGGAGACCCUUAGGAAACUAGGGGGUGCUUCCAUCUGGAAGAAUCUGGAGACAGGUGCUGCAUGGCUGUCGUCAGCUCGUGUCGUGAGAUGUUGGGUUAAGUCCCGCAACGAGCGCAACCCUUGCCUUUAGUUGCCAGCAGUUCGGCUGGGCACUCUAAAGGGACUGCCGGUGUUAAACCGGAGGAAGGUGGGGAUGACGUCAAGUCCUCAUGGCCUUUAUGACCGGGGCUACACACGUACUACAAUGGCCGAUACAAAGGGCAGCGACACUGCGAGGUGAAGCCAAUCCCGUAAAAUCGGUCUCAGUCCGGAUUGGAGUCUGCAACUCGACUCCAUGAAGUUGGAAUCGCUAGUAAUCGUGGAUCAGCAUGCCACGGUGAAUACGUCCGGCUU